Molecule: long non-coding RNA, 5879 nt
Organism: Equus caballus (horse)
Lineage: Eukaryota; Metazoa; Chordata; Mammalia; Perissodactyla; Equidae
Source: Ensembl
UUUUUUUAAAGUACGUAAACUCACUUAACUACUUGGUUGGGUUGCUUGCUCCCUGCCUGCCGAUAAUGUUCGACAUUCUCAAUGACUCAGUCACAUUUGACCAAAAAGCUGCACUUUGAUGAAGCCCUUAGGAGCUAAUGGGCUGUGGAGGGCUGCCCGCUGUCACCUGAGCGGCUCACUGCCAUCUGCUUUCAGAACUCUGAGUGCUCUGCGGGCCCCUCCCCCUCUUCUUUGUCUCCUUUCUCAUCCUGUACUGACCUCUUUCAUUCUUUCCCCCUUCAGGAUAUCUGUCUCCAGCAAGCUCCCCAUUUCCUACUUGCUGUUGCUGUUAGAAGUAUGUGUGCAAAGUCACGAUGCUGAAUGUCAGGAGUCUAUCCUCUGCAUGCUCUCUUGCUCUCAACUGCCAGCCCAAUGCAGAGGAGCCAGCGGCGAACUCCGAGGCCCCUAAAGAAUCUCGAAGUCUCAGGAUGGAAGGACCCUCGGUCCCCAGAUGACUGCACGGAGCAGAGCCUUCCCCACCUGCACCCCACAGUUCACCCACAGGGAAGUAUUGUGAGAAGUGAACCUUUACUUUGUAGACGGCUGAGUUUUGUUAUUGUUGUUGUUAUAACCUUUAGACUGACUAAUGCAGCCUCCAUUAACUCGAGCCAACGUCCACUUUUUCCCUUGCUUCACAAUAAGGGCCCAUUGUUGAGUCUCCAGUAAAUUCUGUUUCUCCUCUGAGCGAGUCCUUUAGCUCUCCGUGCAUUCCGGAGCAGAGACGUUGGUCCACCAGCUCAGUGAUACGAACAUGUACCAGCUGCACUCACUUCACUGCUGCUUUCCGUUAUCACCCAAGGCUCUGGCUCCCCUGCCCACCUCCCCAGCUCUCAAUUUCAUCGAGGUCAUCCUUCACAAAGUCAAACUGCUGUGAUCUCAUAAGAAACACUAAUGCUAUUACUUCUAAAUAGAGAGGCAGCCAUUGUUUCUUAUGCUUUUAGCUAUAUUUAAAGAAAUUUUAGCUCUUACCCAAGUCUUUUACUGUCAGUCCUCAACAAGCACAUUCUUUGUCCUCCUUAACAUCAUAAUGGUACCUUCAGCUCAUAAGUAACUUCCAUGUGACAGGUACAAUUCGUGAUAUACGUUAUCCCAGUCAGUUCUCCCAACCAUCCCACAAUGUCUACAUUAUUAUCCUCAUUUCACAGAGAGGUUAAGAAACCUGUCUAAAGUCACAUGCCUGAAGAGACAGAACUGAAAUUACAACCUGGGUGGAUCUUGGUCUUUCACUCCAUUACUCCACACUGUAUUGUUCAUUUUACCAGUUAUUUCUGCAGAUACUGGAGUCUUUUUGUUUGUGUAGUGGGCUCACUACACAAUAGUGUGAAACAUUAAUUUCGGUGGGCUCUGUUUGGUGGCCCCACGAGUGGAAAAAGGGCACCAUUUUAUCAUUUUAGUCUUUAUCGAAAGGUCUCCAGUAUUUGGGGAGCAGUAGUAGCCAGAAGAUGAGCAUACUUCAGCCAGAAAACUUUAUUCCUGCUGGAAAUAACUGAACUCAUGCUCUACUUUCUGGUAGUUUAUGGCUGGCAAAAACCCAAAAGCACAAAUACGAAUCCAGAAACAGAGUCCCCUGGCAUCAAUAAUAAUCAUUUUUACUUAGCUAACAUAAUCUUUAGUCACCAGGAAUUAGAUCUGUACUUCCUUUCUUAUUUACCACUCUGUUAGGAAUUUUAGAAAUGCACAGUGGAAAAUUUGCUUGUGUCUGGAACAGGAAUGGCAGACUUAUGGCACAAAUGGGGCCACUCGCCACCCCAGAGCCCAUGGCAGAUGUAAAUAUAUUCUCAUGCAAUUCCUUCUGACUCAUUUCUCCAGGCAGUCCAGCUCUCUCCAGGCAGUCAUCAUUACCAAUCGAUUAGAGUUGGUAUAAUAGUUCCUUCAUUUGAUAAAUAUUUAUUAAACACAUACUGUGUGCCAGGUAGGGAUCUAUGAGAAGAAAUCAAUUUGCUCUUUUGGUCAUUGUCCAAAUUUAUUUUGUUCUUGCCAGGCACCCUGAAUCUUUCCUAGUUGACCAAGAAAGUCAACCAAUCUCAUUUGCGGCCUGGAGCUUAAAUGACUUCAGGUUUCCAUGACCUGUACUAUAGCAGAAGAGUCCACCUUGUCCUGGGACCUGGGUAAUAAAGUAAAAGUCAAAUAAAUAAAGAACAGAUAGACUUAGCAGCACCCAAAACACAUUCUUUCUUGACCUAUAUUACUUGUGUGUCUUUGGCUAAACCUGAACGGGAAUGGUUGAUGUGAAUUAAAGGCAUGAAUUUCAUGAGUAAUUUAACAGUAAUGACUCCUAGUCUUGAGGAUAGGGUGACAUCUUUAAUCAUUAGAAACCUAAUAAGACCUGUUUGCCCAUUACCUUCAUUCUUCCUCUUUUAGGCAUCCUUGGUCUUCAGCCUCAUGUCAGACUGGAUGAUUUGCUUUAGACUUACUAGUGACAGCUCAAAUAAAGAGUCAGUAUACACAUUUUUUAAAAACAUGCAGUUGAGGCAAAGGUUGGCCUUUUGCCAGAGGGUGUUAGGGAAUCAAUCCAACGGUUCGACAUGAUUGUGCAGGGCUGUGAUUGUGGCACCAGAUGUUUAAUAUCUGGCCAAAAGCUCUUGGAGGCAUGUUGAGAAGAGUCUUGCAAAAUCAGUAUGGAUCUCUGACUGAACUGUCCCCCAUCCCUACUUCUAAUGAAAUGGAAGUGCUGGGGAAGGUUACACAGAGUAAUUAGACCAUCAAGCAUAACUUUUGGCUAGUACUUUUGUGGGGAAAAAUCCAAGAUAGACUUUGUACUAAGAUGGCGGUGCAGUCUCCACAGAAAAGAGGAGCUAAGUCAACUCCAUGCUUUGUAAAAAGCUAGAAUUACUUCGGUAGUUUCUUUACUGUGUAUCUUCUCUGAAUGAAGUGUAAGACAUCAGCCAAUCUUGACUCCUACUCACCUAUUACGCAAUUUGAUCAGGCUGAAGAAACAUGACAGGAAAGUCUUUUAAAGCGAAGCUUCCUACCAGAGACAGUUCAAAUAAACUUAGAUUUUCAAUGAGAAGCUGUUCAGGACAUCAGCUUUGAUACUCACUUCAAGGUUUGAAGAUAAGCAUUUAGAGAUGGUAGAUGGACAAGGAUGACAUUGAUGAGGCUGUAGGUUUUCUUUUUAAAACCUUCUUCAUCUUAUACUCAGUUUGGAUACUAUCUAUUCACCUGCAAAGAGUGAGACACAAAAGUACUAUUAAUUUCUGUCUUUUUGUAUCAUUCCAAUUGAUGUAUAAAUAUACUAAUUUUCCAUUAGAAAAACAAAUUGACAUAGUCUUCCUUGACCUCAUCCCCGUCAACUCAUUUCCCCACUUCUCUGCUCCCCUUCAUAGCUAAACUUCUCUAACGAGUUGACUACAUGUACUAUCUCUACAUCCUCACCUACCAUUCAAGUUUUAUAACUUGAAAAAAUUAUUCUUGUGCAUAAUUUCACAAUAAUUUAGAAUAGAAGGACUUAUACUAAUAAAAAAUAUUCGUAUUUUUUCUCUCCACUCCUCCUCUCCCCACACAUACCCUUUUAACUUUUCCUGUUUCAAUGUUUAUAUUUAUUUCUCUAAAUACUGACUUCCUGGUAUUAGAGUUGAUGAUUUAGCUCACUUAUCUCAUCACCCGUCUCCUUCUCUUCUCCCAACAUAAUUGUGUUACUACUUUUAGUUACUUUAUUGCUCACUUUUGAACUUUACAUGAUAAAUGUACACAUUUUUUCUUGUUCCAUCAAUUAUAAAUAAUUAUAGACUACGUCUUUUGACUUAACUUCCUAAUAAAGGGUGUGUGGGAGUUAACUUUCUGUGUCUUUGCGUGUCUGGAUAUAUCUUUAGUCUGUCUUCAAAUUUGAUUUAUGUCUCUAUUUUAUCCCCACAUUUGAUUGAUUUAUAGCUCUGCCGGAAAUUGACUUUCAACUUGCAAAUCCUUUCUCUCAGACCUUUGAAGAUAUUUGUCUGCUGUCUUGUAGUGUGGAUGAGAGAUGUCAUUUUCGUUUUGUAGAUGGCUUCCAUUUAUCUUGCCUUCUGUGUGGAGGCAGUGGCUUGUUAGUCGGUUGGCCUUUGUGCUGGGGCCCCAAAUACUAUCCUGUGAGAGAUUUGCACAGUGGUGCUGACACCCGGAAAAGCUGUCUUAAUUUUCUUUAAAACAGUGUUCAAGUUCUUUAAAGAUUAUUCCCAUUUUAUUUCUCUGGAUGGGCUGUAAAUACUUGCCUUUGGGCAUUUUGUGUGACAGGUGGAGGAUGAUGUUGCAUGGAUUUAUGACUUUAUAUGUUGACUUCUAAUUAAUGAAUUUAUUUUCAAUCUACAUCUCUUACUCACUCUCCAUUAUAUUUAUUUUUCUAAGUUUGAGCUUUCUUUCUUUCUUUGCUUUAAUAUUUACCACUUAUCCAUGCUUUCAUAUAGAUCUUCUUUCCCUUUUUUUUAAUCUACCAAAAUUUGCUGAAAUCUCUUGCUUUCUGAAGAAUCCUUCCCUGUUCUUUCCAUAUCCUAAAAUUAAUUUAUUAUGCUCUUGAGAGCUAACAUCAGCACCCAAGAAGAGUCAGUUGCUGCCUGGAAGAAAGUAUUACUAGAACUUGGUGGAAAUGAAGAAACAUUAAUUGAAAGGAAUUCUAGGCAUUUUUUCCCCUAAUAGCCCAAACUGGUAAUCAAAAAGAGAGCAAAAAAUAAGAAUCUGAAAAAAAAAUGUACUCAAUUACUGCCAAUGAUUUCUGUGCUCACAGAUAAUCUUAUUUAAUUUUUUUCUGUUCAUCCUUUCAAAGAUGUGUGGCAGGUCAUUCAGUUGCUUAUUGAACAUCUGAAACAAAAACAAAACCUAUUGAUUCAAACAAUGUAUGAUCUUUGUAGAACAUUUGGAAAAUGCAUAAUAGUACCGCAAAAAAACACAUAAAAAUUGAGCAGACACUACCCCUGCUACCAUUUUGGCAAAUUUACUUAAAUUUAAGUACAUCUGUAUGCAUUUUUCUUUAAAUUAAGAUCAUAUUACAGCUUUGUUAUUUUAUUUAUUUAUUUAUUUUUUUGCUGAGGAAGAUUAACCCUGAGCUAACAUCUGUGCCAAUCUUCCUCUAUUUUGUAUAUGUGUUACCACCACAGCAUGGCUGGUGAGAGUGGUGUAGGUCUGUGCCUGGGAUCUGAACCCACAAACCCAGGCCUCCAAAGCAGAGUGCACCAAACUCAACCACUAGGCCAUGCAGCUGGCCUCAAGUCUCUAUUUUGUGUCUGUGUGAGGAAGCUUGGCCCUAAGCUAACACUGUUGCCAAUCUUCCUCUUUUUGCUUGAGGAAGAUUGUCACUGAUCUAACAUCUGUGCCAAUCUUCCUCUAUUUUAUGUGAGAUGCUGCCACAGUGUGGCUUGAGUCGUGGGGUGAGAUCUGUGCCUGGGAUCUGAAUGUGCAAACCCCAGGCUGCUGAAGCGGAGCACACAAACUUAACCACUACUCCACCAGACUGGCCCCCCACAACUCUCUAUUUUUAAUUAGAAUUAUUUAGCAUUUGUACAUUGUUAAUUAACUUUACAAAUCAUAAUUUUUAAUAGUUGCAUAUAUUCCAUUAUAUGGAUAUAUGGUAAUUUAUUUGACUCAUCUCCUGUUAUUGGACAUUAGGAAAUAUCUAGAUUUUUACUAUUAAAAUAGUGUUGCAACAGAACUAAUUAUAUGUUGCUAUUUGUCUACAUCCUGAUUAUAUUUUUUAGGAUAAUUUUCAAGAACUUAGUUUAGUUGGUCACAGGCUAUGAGCCUAUAUCAAAUCCCUAAUGUGUGCUGGCAAAUUUUUUCCAGAAAUAUUUCACAAAACUAUGAAAGUUUCUGACUCAUCACACACUCCCCAACUCUAAUACUAUUUUUUAAAACAUUAAUCAGUUUUGUAAGUG